RNAcentral lists this ribosomal RNA (603 nucleotides) under uncultured Acidobacteriota bacterium. RNAcentral describes it as "bacterial SSU rRNA". It matches the Rfam family "Bacterial small subunit ribosomal RNA", at positions 329 to 953 of the family's 1533-position model. Lineage: Bacteria; Pseudomonadati; Acidobacteriota. The record is from RNAcentral.
CAGGUCACUCCUACGGGAGGCAGCAGUGGGGAAUUUUGCGCAAUGGGGGAAACCCUGACGCAGCAACGCCGCGUGGAGGAUGAAGUCCCUUGGGAUGUAAACUCCUUUCGAUCGGGACGAUUAUGACGGUACCGGAAGAAGAAGCACCGGCUAACUCUGUGCCAGCAGCCGCGGUAAUACAGAGGGUGCGAGCGUUAAUCGGAAUUACUGGGCGUAAAGCGUGCGCAGACGGUCAUGUAAGUCGGGUGUGAAAGCCCCGGGCUCAACCUGGGAAUUGCAUUCGAGACUGCAUGGCUAGGGUGCGGAAGAGGGAAGCGGAAUUUCCGGUGUAGCGGUGAAAUGCGUAGAUAUCGGAAGGAACACCAGUGGCGAAAGCGGCUUCCUGGUCCAGCACCGACGUUCAGGCACGAAAGCGUGGGGAGCAAACAGGAUUAGAUACCCUGGUAGUCCUAGCCCUAAACGAUGAAUGCUUGGUGUGACAGGUACCCAAUCCUGUCGUGCCGGAGCUAACGCAUUAAGCAUUCCGCCUGGGGAGUACGGUCGCAAGAUUAAAACUUAAAGGAAUUGACGACUCCUACGGGAGGCAGCAGUGGGGAAUAUUGG